Molecule: unclassified non-coding RNA, 1071 nt
Filed under: Hevea brasiliensis (rubber tree)
Lineage: Eukaryota; Viridiplantae; Streptophyta; Magnoliopsida; Malpighiales; Euphorbiaceae
Source: RNAcentral
GAAACCUCCACAACCUGUUUUCAAUGGGAGUAGAAGGCAUAAAUAUUAAAGGUUAUGCAUCAUAAAAAUUCAAAAUUUGACACCACUAUAGUAUGGAGGUUUCUACAAGUUGUCACAUCUUCCAUUAUCAUUCUUCUACACAACUAUUACCCACUCCAAACUGAACCCCUAGCACUUAUUAGUUAUUGGUCUCCAAGUAAGAUUGAUAUGAUUAAUGUUAGAAUCUUGGACUAUGAAAAAGCAGUAAAAUGGAUAGUUGAUAGAAAUUAUUUAAUACUUGAGCAGCACUGGCUUCCCAAAUUAGUACAACUGGGCCUGGAAUCUAGUUUUUGGCUUACAUUAUAAACGGCAUCUCAUGGUUACUGUGCCAUCAUGUGGACCAACCUGACCAUCUAAAAUGUUUCUUUAAUUUAGACAUUUGGCUCUGACAUUUUUCAAGUAAACAAACUUUAUCAUUGAGUGACUUUCACAAUUCUUUAUGAGAUGCCGAAGUGGAGUAUGUACACAUAAAAAGUAAAUGCACAAUGACACAUGAGUGAGAUAGUUCCCAUUGUAUGGAAGUUUCCACAGGGCUACAAUUUCACACCUCCAUCCAACAUGACACAUGGUUGUGCUUUGUGAUAGAUGCUAACAAGGACAUCCAGAAGGGUAAAUAAUGCCAAACACUUAAAAAAAGUACAUUAACCAUGAUUAUAUAUCCAUGUCAUUUGGUCAGUUCUCUAAUGCGAAACCACGAAACACAGAUGUUAGGAGUCUCUAAUGCAACAACAGCUAUUUAAAAAACUAAUAAAAGAAACCCAAAAUCAACAAAUACUGAUGAAAGGCAUCACACAAGUGGACCAAGUGAAGCUCAAAACUGGGAUUUUAAGCUGCUAAUUUCAGAAUCCGAUGUCCUGAUACAAAAUUACAAUAGGAGAUCCAAAAUGUUAUCUAUAGCUAUAGAAUAAUACAUCUCAGGAUACAGCAUCAACCCCAACCACAACUUUUCUCUUAGACCCACGAAAAUAUAGAUUUACCCAGCAAUCUAAAAGAGGUAAAAACAAAAUCCACAUAGACCUUACAACUUUUUUU